Zingiber officinale is the source of this 548-nucleotide long non-coding RNA. RefSeq lists it as uncharacterized. Lineage: Eukaryota; Viridiplantae; Streptophyta; Magnoliopsida; Zingiberales; Zingiberaceae. The transcript has 2 exons. The record is from RefSeq and is a predicted model, not a curated record.
CUCUCAAAUGACUCAAAUCCCGAUUCAUCUCCUCCUCUCUUCUUUGCCGCCGUAACCAAACCCUCUACCUGUGCUUAAGGCGGCCGACCGAUGCCACCACGCCGGUGAUCUCCUCGGUGGACAAUGCUCCAAGUUGUAGACGCCCAUGACAACCCUUCAUCUCCGGUGCAUAGUCAUGUGGCUAGGGCUCUCGACAGCGACACGAAGAAGGCAAAAGGCAAGUAUACUUCUGUAGUAGGUGAGGAAGAUGUCAUCCCGAAUGUGAUAGGGACACAGAGGCGGAGUAGCUGAGGAAAUGAGGUUGAAUACAUCACACAAUGUCCAGGGGCCCUAAGUGUUAGUUAUUAGUCUUUUCCCUUUGAUUUGCUAUGUUAUUAUGAGGUGGAGACUAACUGUUGGUUUACAUUAGUGGGAGAUCACAAUUGUUUCUGGGGAGAUUUUCUUAUUUUAUCUUAUUUUAUUUUUCUUUUCUUUCUUCUUUUCCUUCUUUUGUUGAAAUUUUAAACAAACAUAUGGUGCAAAGUUGUUCCCUUUUCACGUCGGGUUUA